CCAAGGAGUCUAGCAUGUGCGCAAGUCAUUGGGAAUUACAAAACCUAAAGGCGCAAUGAAAGUAAAGGUUCGCUUAAGCGAACUGAGGGAUGAUGGACCGUUAUCUACGGAUACGGGCCCGCAAUCCCGGGGCGUCUCACUCUCAUUACGAGAAGAGGCGCACCCAGAGCGUACACGCUGGGACCCGAAAGAUGGUGAACUAUGCCUGGUCAGGUCGAAGUCAGGGGAAACCCUGAUGGAGGACCGUAGCGAUUCUGACGUGCAAAUCGAUCGUCGGAACUGGGUAUAGGGGCGAAAGACUAA
Molecule: ribosomal RNA, 303 nt
Filed under: Pulex irritans
Lineage: Eukaryota; Metazoa; Arthropoda; Insecta; Siphonaptera; Pulicidae
Description: eukaryotic LSU rRNA
Rfam family: Eukaryotic large subunit ribosomal RNA
Source: RNAcentral